AGGAUGAACGCUGGCGGCGUGCCUAAUACAUGCAAGUCGAGCGGUAAGGCCUCUUCGGAGGUACACGAGCGGCGGACGGCUGAGUAACACGUAGGAACGUACCCCAAAGUGAGGCAUAAGCACCAGAAAUGGUGUCUAAUACCGCAUGUGGCCUUAGGGCUAAAGCUCCGGCGCUUUGGGAACGGCCUGCGCAUGAUUAGCUUGUUGGUGAGGUAAUGGCUCACCAAGGCGACGAUCAUUAGCUGGUCUGAGAGGAUGAUCAGCCAGACUGGGACUGAGAACGGCCCAGACUCCUACGGGAGGCAGCAGUAGGGAAUUUUCCACAAUGGC
This 330-nucleotide ribosomal RNA is filed under the name uncultured bacterium. RNAcentral's name for it is "SSU rRNA". It matches the Rfam family "Bacterial small subunit ribosomal RNA", at positions 26 to 375 of the family's 1533-position model. The record is from RNAcentral.